UAGGGAGUUUUCGGCAAUGGGGGAAACCCUGACCGAGCAACGCCGCGUGAAUGAUGAAGGUCUUCGGAUCGUAAAAUUCUGUUGUAAGGGACGAAUGGUUGGAGGAGGAAAUGCCUUCAAUUUGACUGUACCUUAUUAGAAAGCCACGGCUAACUACGUGCCAGCAGCCGCGGUAAUACGUAGGUGGCAAGCGUUAUCCGGAAUUAUUGGGCGUAAAGAGUGAGCAGGCGGUUAUUUAAGUCUGGAGUCAAAUGCAAUGGCUUAACCAUUGUUCGCUUCGGAAACUGAAUGACUAGAGUUCGAGAGAAGUUAACGGAAUUCCAUGUGUAGCGGUGAAAUGCGUAGAUAUAUGGAGGAACACCAGUGGCGAAGGCGGUUAACUAGCUCGAUACUGACGCUCAGUCACGAAAGCGUGGGUAGCAAAUA
RNAcentral lists this ribosomal RNA (426 nucleotides) under uncultured bacterium. RNAcentral's name for it is "partial 16S ribosomal RNA". It matches the Rfam family "Bacterial small subunit ribosomal RNA", at positions 355 to 774 of the family's 1533-position model. The record is from RNAcentral.